CCGGGUCGCUAGUACACCCGACAGACCCGCGCAGGGACGCCCGGGUCUCCCUCCGCCGCGCGGGAGCACCGGAAACGCGUGCUCCGGCCCGGGCCGCCCGCCGCCCGGCUCUGCGGCGUUUUGCGGCCGGGGGUUUCCGUAGCCAGCCCGGGGCAGGGAACGCGCAGCGCACGCGCGAGAGCCGUUUGAGCAGAGGGCUGGACACAGGUGCAAUGGCCCUGGUGCCUUAUGAAGAGACAGCGGGAGUGGGGUUGCGGGCAUUCCACAAGCCUCUUGCCACCUUCUCCUUUGCAAACCACAGGAUCCAGAUCCGGCAGGACUGGAGGCAACUGGGAGUCGCAGCAGUGGUUUGGGAUGCGGCUAUCGUUCUUUCUACAUAUCUGGAGAUGGGAGCUGUGGAGCUCAGGGGCUGCUCUGCCGUGGAGCUGGGAGCUGGCACUGGGCUGGUGGGCAUAGUGGCUGCCCUGCUGGAUUAUGAAAGUAAAAAGUCACUCAAGUAGAAGUCAGAAGAACAUAGGCUGAAGGAACUUUCUCUUUGGGAGAUGCUCUGGAGAUGGCCCAUCUAAGCACAUAGACACACAUAGACACACAGCCCAGGAUUGGAAGAUUCAGAUUGGCAAAACGUUAUUCUUUAAUUGAAGAUUGAAAGAAGCAGCUCUGAACUAGCACGGUGGACAGGUGAGUGAGCUAGCAUUUACUGCACACCAGCGGGAUAUUUUAGAGGUAGGUAGAAGGCAAUUGAAAACAAAGAGAAGGAAUAUCAACAUCAGAAUGAGUGUUUUGGAAGGAUUCCUGGGGCCAUAAGGCUUGGACUGAUGUUGGGGAAUGAAUAAGAAAGAGUUAGCUAGAGAUGGAGGGGGUGAGGGCAUCCCAGGCAUCACAAAUGCAGAAGCAAUGCAAGCAUCAAGCAGCUCAAGACGGUGGCAAUAAAAGGUACAUGUGGAAGAGGUGGGCGAUGAUGGGAGGAAGGUAGACAGAGGGCAACCCCCAGAGACAUUGUGUGUUAAGCUUCAUAAUUUGAACUCUGAAUUGAAAUUUAUGGGGCGCCAUUGAAGGAUUUUAAAACAAGAUAUUGACCAUUUAUUUAAAUCUCCUAAUAUAUAUAUUAUAUAUAAAUAUAUAAUAAAUAUAUAUACAUAUAUCUCCAUAUAUAUAUAUUUUAAGCCAUAAGCACACUUGAGGUUAGUCCUAAUUGCACGGCAAAUAAGGAAAUGAGUAAUUGCUCUGAUCUGUAGGGUGUUAUAGGGAAAGCCUUGACUAUGAGUCUCUGAUCAACAGGGUUUCUAAGGAGUGACUGGGUCAUUGUUCUCGUGGGGCUUCACCAAACGCCUUGAGCAGAAAGACAGCACUUUGAGAGAAGGAGGCUUUGUACUGCAGGGUGAUUACUGAUUCAAAUUCAUGUAUGUUGAGUCCCAGCUGGGGCCUUGACAUUGAUCUUCUGUACUCCUGGAUCUAAAAUAAAUUCAGAAAUACAGUUCUUUGGAAUGAAAGCAAAAAUAAGAGUGUGAAAGAAAGGCGAAAUACAGAAAAGAAUUAGCCUCACUUUAGUGAUGAAUUCCCAGCAGGGUAUUCUUUUAAGUAGCAUGUAUUCUGUUCUAUUCCAUUAAUUUUAAAAGGAGGACUACUAGAAAUGACUUAUCUGAGUAACCCAAAAGAUUCAGAUCAGCUAGUCAACUAAUGGGACCCAGGUCACCUUUUCCAUGAAUGAUGCAUGAGUAGAAGAUAGAUACAAAGAGCUUUGCUAAGUCUGCUGAUGUUUAGUGUCUAUGAAAUUGAGGGUUUUCUGUCAAAUGAAUAAAGAUUCUUCCAAUAUAGUGAUUUCCUGUGUUUCGGGAGAUUAACUAGUGUAUGCUUUUGCUAGCAGUUUAUUUUUCUGCUUUGACAAAGAGGGGAAAAAAUUAAAGAAAAAGAAAGAUUGGUAUGUACACAUAUUAGAAAGAUGGGGGAUUUAUAGAACUGCACUAUUUUACUGUUUCUGAAUGACCCUUUUUUAAUGGAAAAGAGACCUGUGACCUUAUUUGCAUUUCAAAUAUUCCUGGAGUGGAAUGGUGAAGAUCAAUGAAUUGAUUGUCAGAGAAACAGCAUGAGUGACAAAUUUCUCAGUAAAGAAAAAAGAAAUACAAAGAGGGAGGAUGGUGAGGUCUUCCCAAUUUAGGAGUAAUGGAGCAAAAAGGUCUCGGUUCUAGUCUGGAUCUCAUUUUUCUAAAAUUCAAAUAAUCUGUGAGAAUAAAAGAAAAAUACCUGAAUAUGUGGUUAAAUAUUUUCUCAGUGCAUAAUUACGUGACACUUCAAUAUGUCCCAACAUCUAUUUUGUCCCAAUAUUUCUCCUUCUCUGCAGAUAUUUUGAGAGGCAAUGCAAUGUAAUAUAAAAUGGCAUAUAUUUGAAAACAAAAAGUUUCCCUUCCAGAGACCCAGGCCUCAACCACUUAAGGCCAGCAGAUAAGCUUCUUUUCAGGAUGGUUAAUAAUAGAAAUAUUUAUUAUAUUCAGAGGAUAUCCUACUCCAUUGAGAUGGUUGAAUACUAGUUCUAUAUCUCCCAUGAGAUAAUCUCUUCAGCACAUAAUUAUUGCAAACAUGAAUAUUGUACACAUAUUAAUAUUUAGCAAUAGGUUAGGACAUAUUGAAUAGCAUCACAUGUGAGAUACUAGUUGUCCCACCUAUGUGGAGCUGCAGCAAGACCAACCAAGCUCCUUUUAGGGCUCUUCUUCAAUUCAAGGUGAAGAUCUGAUCUGUGUACCUUCCCUCCAGCUCCCAGCUCCCGACCUCUCAUUGAGAUAAGGAUCUACCCUGAUUCUUGGGCAGGUCUAGUUGUCCGGCAGGUUGGACAGGUACUUGGCAAGAACAAGAAUGGGAGAUUGUUGAGGUUUGGGGACUGAGUAUAUGGCUAGAAAUCUCAGAAUGAGCCCAGAGUUAGAGAAUUUGGGUAUCCUAUGUGGAUACUUAUUGUGGUGAGUUGAACUGUGUCCCUCUCCCAAACGAUAGGUCUAAGUCUUAACCUCUGGUAUUUGUAAAUGUGGUCUUGUUUGAAUGUAGGGUCUUUGAGACAUAAUUAAGGAUUUCAAGAUGAGAUCAUCUGGAUUUGGGACAGACCCUAAAUCUGAUGAUUUGUGUCCUUGUAAGAGACAAGAGAAGGAGUUUUGAGACACAGAGACACCCAGGGAAAAGGCUAUGUGAAGACAGAGGCAGAGACUGGGGCUAUGCUGCCAUAAGCCAAGCAUCACCUGGGACCCCUGGAAGCUGAAAGAGUCAAGGAAGGAUAUUCCCCUAGAACUUCUGAAGAGAGCAUGGCCUUGCCAACACCUUGAUUUCAGACUUCCCCUCCAGAGAAGUCCUCCACAGUCUCUAAAACUGCAAGAGAAGGCAUUUCUAUUGUUUUAAGCUAUCACAUUUGUGGUAAUUUCCUACAGCAGCCACGGAAAACCAAUAUUCUCAUGAAAACAGCUCCACUCUGGAUAUUCCAAUUACCACUUCAUGCCACUGAGUGAAAAGGCCAACAUGGGGCUAUGGUGCUGCAGGGUUGGCUGGUCCAACUCUGAAAGAGAACUAGAAUCCCUGUUGCACGGUGAGAGGGAGGAGGAUGGAUGCCCAGUGGCAGAAGUUGAAGGAAGACUCAAUUAUCCUACAUAGACUCCUUUCGGAUGUGGCAGUUUCUCAGGCUUUGCUUGUUCUUGAUGACCUCUGCAGUUUUGAGGAGUCCUGGUCGGGUGUUUUGUACAAUGUUCCCUACUGGAAUUUGCCUGAUGUGUUUCUUAAGACUAAAGUGAGGUUAUAGGUCUCGGGGAAUGAGACCGCAGAGCUCUGUGCAACAACUGGACCUGAGAGACCACAGAAUUUAUUCUGGUUACAAUGAACAUAGAAGAAAUACCUGCUCAUUUAAAAAGCUUUCAAAGAACUCCAGGAAGUGGCUGCAGAGCAAAGUAGGAGGCUGAUACUAUAAGGAGUUUCUCCUGCAGUAAUGGUCUGGGGCGAACGACACAGUGUCAGUUACAAGCAAACCCUGAAAUGGGCUCAACCUGCAGCUCCGCUCUUUCCAGUUACUUGAUGGGAGAUUUGUUCUCCCAUGUGAAGAGAGGUACUAAGAUCUUGGACAACCUCCACAGUAAAACCCAAUCAGACAAACAAACAGACAAACAAACACCUGGUUUCCAGUGGCAUCAAUGAAAGGGAAAUAUUUGGUUUCGAACUCCUGACCUUGAGCAAUCCGCCCGCCUCGGCCUCCCAGAGUGCUAGGAUUACAGGCCUGAGUCACCACGCCUGGCCAAAAGGGAAAUAUUUGGGACAAACCCUCUCCUCCUCCCACUUUGUCAAAGCCACAGCGGAGACCUUGGGACAUUCAUGUGGAACAGACACUGCUCAGGUCUGAGCAGUGCUGAUCUCUUCGGAGGGUCCUUCCUGGCCUCCCUUACCCAAAUGUUCUUAUAUUUGAUUUAAAGUCUCCUUCAGUUUAAAUCAACUUGACCCAGGCAGGGAAAAAAUGUUUCAGGUCACACUUUUGCCAAGAAGCUGAAAAACAAAGUUAAUUGGAACAUUAUUCCUGGAAAUACAGGGGAACAGGACAUUAGCAAAAUUAUUUCAUCGAAUCACAUGUUGAAGUCACAUAAGAUCAAUGACAUAAAAAAUGGAAGAGAAAUUACAAUCACAUGUGUGAAGACUAGCAGGUAGAGUUUCUCCAUAUAAGAUGUCCUAUGUGGUUUAGUGGAUGCUCCUGCCAAGUGACCGGUUGUGUCCCUUUGUGGCUUCACAAGAAGCAGUGAUCAACAUGAAUUCAGCAUUGAUAACUGGAGGAGCACCGCAGUAUAUGCUGAGAACUGUUGGUAUUAAUUAUUAUCCAUGGUGUUGCUGUGCAUCUGGAAUCCAGGAGUGGAUUAAUCGAUUAAAGACCUUUCAUAAGGUUGCAGUGUCAAGAUCUUAGCUCGAGUUACAGUCAUCUGAAGGCGUACCUGGGGUUGGAGGAGCCACUUGCAGGAGCGCCUUUUGUAUGCUGAAAGGAAUGGCCAAGCGGGGAGGAAUGGAUAAUGCACAUGGUAAAGGACAACUCCAGGGCUGAGUCUUGACAAGAGAGCUCUUUCCAGCUCACCAGGCUGCAGUGCUGGUACUUGGACGUUUUUCACCCAUCACGUGUUUCUCCCCAUUGAGAUAAACUUCUUCCAGAAGAAGCUGCCCAUCUUGACAAGUCUGUUUCCAGUCUGUGCUCCACUGCACAGCCAGACCUGAAAGUGACGGGAACUGACAAACUCUCUGAACUUGUCCCAUUGGAUUUGUCUAAUGGGCCUUUCCCUGACAUAGAUGAAAAAGUCAUUGACAGAAACAGACCAUUUACCGUGAACCUGAGCAGAGGUAUAAGCAGCGACAGAUAAAAUAGGGCUCGAAAUAAAAAGCUGGGAAACUCAGGCCACAUACGAUGGACCCAGGGAGAUCUCUGCUUUGAAACGCGAAGACGAAAUGGAUGGCAUUGGGUUCUGCAGCCCCAAGUCACCACCCAGCUGGUGCCGAGAAAGCCAAGCUCCCGCGCCCGUCUCUCUCCCUGCGCCACUCCAUGCAGAAGCUGCUAAGUGUGACCUGGGGUCAGGGGUGGCUUUCAGCAAUCCACUCCAGGCCUGAGGACUGAGUUCUCUUUCCAAAGAAAAGCAAAAAUGUGGUAUUAAAAAUUUUGCAGCCAUUUAGAAAUUCUAGUCUGCUGGCAGAAUUCAUGUUGAAGAAAGCUUUCCAAACAGAAGAGUCACAUCUUAGGAGCGAUAUUUUUAGGUUCUAUAAUCAACACCUAACGUGAACAUCAUAUAAACUCAGAAUUACCCUUGAAAAGCCCUUACAUCACCCAUACAACAUGCAACCCUCUAUUCUAAUUUAUAUUCACACUGAAAUUUGAAAAUCGUUGCACUAGAUUAAAUGAAAAAAAACAGGAAGGGAAUCUGUGUGCAGAUGUCUGGCCUCAGACCAUUCUGCCCUUAAGGCAGACAUCAAAUACCAGGCUUUGAGUGAGCUCAGGACAAUUCCAAGCAUCUGUGUUGGACCACAGGUUUUACUUUAUUCUUUUUUAAUAUUGAGGCUCGACAGCCACUAUAGAUGGUAAAGGAUAUGUUUGUCAUUGUGAUGAUUAAAUGAAAUAGUGGCAAUGCAUCAAACUCAGGUUAGGACUAAAGCUUGUGUGUUGAUUAAUGCUGAAAUAAUACCACCCCACUCUGUUUUUCUAUAAGAAAAAUCUUUAGAUAAUUCCAUGGCUACAUAAAGGUAAGGUCUAGGUCUCCUCUAAAAGGAGUUGGUUGGCUGAAUGAAGAGUCAAAAUUGCUUUAUAGUAGUAUUAAAGCAAUUAGUUUAUUAAACACUUAAGGAAAAUUAAAAAUGCAGCCAGAAUAGGAGAGUCCUAUGCCAAAAGAUGGCUAACAGUUUUCAAAAGGGAAGAAUAAGAUAUCUCCGGUAUCCGCCCAUAUUGGAGUGUGGAAACUAGAACUUUGGGGAGAGGAGAUGGAAGAUCAGAAAAGGCUUUGAGGAAGAAUAGAGCCAACUGCUGGGCCAUAAACAGGGAGAGAGGACCAGUUAUGGGAGCCCCAUGAUUAGACAAUGCUGAAUACCCAGGGGAGCAGAGAUAUCAGGCCUCGACUUUUGUUUUCCUUUUCUAGCUUUGGAAAUUCCUUUUGAUCUUCUCAAGACUUUGGUAGAGUCAGUUACCUGCCUCAGCCGUGUGUCGUAGGGAACUGUGAAAUGUCUCAGAGCUCAAGAGGAGGAAUGUGGUUUACCCUUCCUAGGACCACCCUUUCCUCACAAGCUGGAAACUGCAUAUUAAAGGCAAAUGGUCAAUGCACAUCCAAGGAGCCGAUCAACAGCAAAACCAUCAGAGAAGUCCAAGGUGGAGCAGAGACAGGAAAUUAAGAGUUAGGCAAAGUGGAGGAAACAGCUACAGGACCCGGUGGAAGAGAAGACUGAACCGGAAGUCCUCUCUCCCAAAUAUACUGGAUCUGGAGUCGCUGACUUCAGGAGCCAACCAGCAGCGUUAAUGAUCGAACCGGCUUUGAUCAUUUUAGUGCAUUUAGUUUAGUGCAAACUUACUGCUAGGCUCUCUCUGCUGCGAUUGUAAACUUCACAUCUGCUAAGUUACCUUAGCUUUUAGAACCUUGUGGGGAUGAGUCAAACAGGGAAAGAAAACACCUUUUUGGGCUUCCUACUCCCACAGGCUCCCAGGCUGCAGCCCCAGAGCGAGGGAAGGUAACCCCCUAAAGCAGAAGUGCCACUCUGCUGUGAUGUGGAUUGGGCUUCUGCCUGUUGUUCUUGUUUUCAAGCCAAGUCCCGAGAACUAGCACUGCAUGUUCACCCUGCCAAGGGGGAUUUACAGCCGAGGGCCCUUGGAGACUCUCCAGAGCAGCAUCUCUGUCUGCCCCGCCGGACACAGCUCAGUCUCUGGUCACUGCAGAAAAGACCAGAGAUCCGCUCUGUUCAUUUAGUGUCUGGUGGCUUUAAAGGAGAUGUGCACUCGUGCUUCUGCCAGCGUUUCUUGGUUUGCCACCACUGCGGCUGGCUCAUCUCUGUCUUGGUCUGGGCUUUCCUGAAAGCAGAGUGUCAGUCAAGGAUUGACUACAGGUGGUUUAUUUGGGAGGUGAUGCCAGGAAGCAGGAGUGAGGCGUGGGGAGAGUGAGGCCGGGGAGGAGGUAGAGCUAACACCCAGGUGAGCUGAGAUGUCUGCUGUGGGCACCAGAAAGGGGCCCAGCAUUAAUCUAUUGGCUUGCCGUGGUUGGAGGUUGGGGGAGGGGACAUUAACUUCUGUGUGAAUCUCCUAGAUACUCAGAGAAGCCCUGAGGCAGAAAACCUGAGAGAGCCUUAGAGCAAGCUUGGGUAGGCGUGUCCAUGUGAGUCUGAAUUCAGGUAAGGGGCUUGAUGCAGGGCAUUGAAAGCUUCCGCUACAGUCUCUGGUGAGAGACAGGACCCACCCUGGGUGUGCCGGUAUCGGGGUGCUGCUGACUUGGCCUGAGUAUGGCUCCCUGACCCCUCUUUUGCCUAUUCCUUGGACAAUGGGAGAAUUGCUUCACCACUUAUGCCCAAGGAUGCCUGUUCUACACCGUUCUCCUCCUCAGUUUCCUAACUCACACCUCAGUCUCCCACGUAAGAGCAGCAACACAGCGAAACUUAGUUCCCUCCUCCCUCCCCCUUUACCUUCUGUGGGCCUCUCCUUUUCCUCUUUCUUCUCUUCCUCACUAGACAUGAUCAUCUUAAGUGCAAGUCCUUAAGGCUUUUAUCUUCUUCUGCCCCACGUCCCCAGGUGUAUCAUUGGGUCCCCACUCCCAGCUGUCACCUCUGUGUCGCUGCCACCAUCGGGAUAUCUCCAGGUGGGGUUCUCUCUCCAGCUCUGGGCCUGUGUUGACAGUCACCCACCUCAGAAUUUCCUGGCAAUUUCUAUGCUAAUGCAAGCUUGAGAACCUCCCCUCUAGUGUGAAAUGCCCCACGAUGAGUUGGACAUUUCUUUUUUGGCCAUGUUCCAUCCACCCCUACUCACCAUGUCAAAAAGUGGCCCUGCCUUCUACUCCCAGUGCACAACUUUCUCGUUCUUCCCAGUGUCCCCCUACCCCUUCCAAAAGAAAGUGCUCUGACUCCAUCUCUGUUUGCGCUACUAUCCACUUAUGUCUGCUUGUAUUCAGAAGCCUGGCGCCACACUGAAUUCCUCAGUCUCCUUGGAAGUGGGUGUUCACAGGCCACAGUGGGGGUCCGGCAGAAGCAGAUUGCAAGGUGCACAGUCACGCGCGCUAGGGCUGCAGCCACACAGUGGGGCUGUGAGUCAUGAUGCCAAGCUGGAAGGAUCAAACCACUCCCCACCUGACCAUGAAGGAACUGAAGCCCGGAGAGAUGCAGAGCUUUGACGAAAGUCACACGGCCGGUUCAUACCAGAGCCCAGCCUAGUGAUCAUGCUCUGCUUUCCUUCCCAGAGCCCUUUCUACAAAAGCGUCAUUGAACAAGCAGCCUUUAAGGGCAAGCAGCAGAGUACAGAGUUCAAACCGGCUCAGACAAUAAUGGGAAGUUAUUUCAUAUAAAUGAAAAGCUUAGAGGUACCUGACUUCAGGCAACAUUUGAACCAGGAACUUAACCUUUGAACCAUUUGAACCAGGAACUUAAAUACGUCAACAAGUACAGAUGUCUGAAGUAGCCUUGGAAUUGGUCCUCAUGACUCCAAUCUUAUCUGCUAAGCAAUUCUCCCCACUGCCGCUGAAAGUCCAUCCAGAAAGCAGGCUUUGCUAUGUCGGUGCCACCACUGUCCAGAAAAUACAGUCCCAGCUCUCAAGAUGAAGGGACCUGCAUGUCCUGUUGACACCUUGGCUACCCGUGUCUCUAGCUUCAGCUCCCGCCAUUCCCUGCCUUAUGGGUUCUUGUUCAACACCAGCAAACCACACACUCUUUCCCUACAUGGACUGGGCUACUUUUUACCUUUGGGUCUUGGCUCAUGCUGUCUUCUCUGCCAGGACAAUCUCAAAGCAAGCAGACAAAGACAAACAAAGGAGCUCCGGUAGCUCCUUGCUCAUCCUUCGGGACUCAAGUUGUGUGACACAUGCCUGUCCCCUUUCUCCCCGCCUGUGUAUUUCUCUAGGGUUGUAUGAUCAUCUCUGAAUUGUCACCCAUGUGCUACCCUGGGUACGGCUGUAACUAAACUGACAUGUAAGGUUUUAUGGAUCUUUA
This is a non-coding RNA of Microcebus murinus (gray mouse lemur), 9654 nucleotides long. The record is from RefSeq and is a predicted model, not a curated record. Lineage: Eukaryota; Metazoa; Chordata; Mammalia; Primates; Cheirogaleidae.